Molecule: transfer RNA, 77 nt
Filed under: Azospirillum sp. B510
Lineage: Bacteria; Pseudomonadati; Pseudomonadota; Alphaproteobacteria; Rhodospirillales; Azospirillaceae
Also listed under: 3 other names
Description: tRNA-Arg (TCT) (tRNA-Arg-TCT-1-1)
Rfam family: tRNA
About the family: Transfer RNA (tRNA) molecules are approximately 80 nucleotides in length. Their secondary structure includes four short double-helical elements and three loops (D, anti-codon, and T loops).
Source: RNAcentral
GGCCCCAUAGCUCAGUUGGAUAGAGCAGCCGCCUUCUAAGCGGCAGGUCGCAGGUUCGAAUCCUGCUGGGGUCGCCA